RNAcentral lists this ribosomal RNA (446 nucleotides) under uncultured bacterium. RNAcentral describes it as "bacterial SSU rRNA". It matches the Rfam family "Bacterial small subunit ribosomal RNA", at positions 329 to 793 of the family's 1533-position model. The record is from RNAcentral.
GCCCAGACUCCUACGGGAGGCAGCAGUGAGGGAUAUUGGUCAAUGGGGGAAACCCUGAACCAGCAACGCCGCGUGAGGGAAGACGGUUUUCGGAUUGUAAACCUCUGUCCUCUGUGAAGAUAAUGACGGUAGCAGAGGAGGAAGCUCCGGCUAACUACGUGCCAGCAGCCGCGGUAAUACGGAGGAUGCGAGCGUUAUCCGGAUUUAUUGGGUUUAAAGGGUGCGUAGGCGGGCUGUUAAGUCAGCGGUCAAAUGUCGGGGCUCAACCCCGGCCUGCCGUUGAAACUGCAUCCCUUGAGUGCGCGAGAAGUAUGCGGAAUGCGUGGUGUAGCGGUGAAAUGCAUAGAUAUCACGCAGAACUCCGAUUGCGAAGGCAGCAUACCGGCGCGCAACUGACGCUCAUGCACGAAAGCGUGGGUAUCGAACAGGAUUAGAUACCCUCGUAC